This 69-nucleotide transfer RNA is filed under the name Ophichthys cuchia (cuchia). RNAcentral describes it as "tRNA-Gly". It matches the Rfam family "tRNA". Rfam says of the family: Transfer RNA (tRNA) molecules are approximately 80 nucleotides in length. Their secondary structure includes four short double-helical elements and three loops (D, anti-codon, and T loops). Lineage: Eukaryota; Metazoa; Chordata; Actinopteri; Synbranchiformes; Synbranchidae. The record is from RNAcentral.
AUCUUUCUAGUAUAAAAAAUAUAAAUGACUUCCAAUCAUUAGACUUUGGUUAAAGCCCAAAGAAAGAUA